Molecule: long non-coding RNA, 15105 nt
Filed under: Salvia miltiorrhiza (redroot sage)
Lineage: Eukaryota; Viridiplantae; Streptophyta; Magnoliopsida; Lamiales; Lamiaceae
Description: long non-coding RNA (SMIL_LNC001507)
Source: RNAcentral
AAUGGGUGUGAUCGAGACAGAUCUAAUCACAAGUACUACUGGUGAUGAUGCUAUGGAGCAGACGAAGACAACUGCAGAGGAUGCUCAAAUGGGUGCCAUCAAGACAGAUGUAAUCACAAGUAAUACUGGUGACAUUUCUAUUGACAAGUUUGUGACAGCGUUGGAUGCGAAAACAGCCAUUUCUCAUACUGAAAUCACAGACCAGAUUAGAAAAAAAGUGGGUGGCACUCAAAUGGCUCAUCAUUCACAUCAGGCAGGUGGCCGUUCUGGUGAUGCUUUUAUGAAAAGGUUUAAUCAUGAGAAACCUUCUGAUGACAAUAAAAUGAAGAAGAUCAUGCUCAAGAUUUUUCCAAAUUUAUAACGAAUUCGAGCUCGAACAUCAUAUAUAUGAACAUCUAACGAGCCGAGUUCGAGCUCAAGCACGAAUUCGACAUUAUCGAAUCGAGCUCGAGCCGAGCUCGAACACUCGAAUAUUUAAAUGAACCGAGCUCGAGCCUGCUAGUAUUCGGCUCGGCUCGGCUCGGCUCAGCUCGUUUACAGCCCUAGAUAUACCAUGACUUCCCAAUUAAUGUUUACUAGAUUUAACAAGGGCGGAUGAGUUUAAGCACAUCAAUAUAUUUCAGCUAGAUGAUAAUAGUAUACAAUACCAAAUAUAAUGUGUAGAUCAUACAGAAACACAAUCUUAAAAUCUAUGUAGAAAAUAGCCUGAAAAUAACGGAUUAUCAAACUAAGACAAUCACGAAUUGCUUGAGAAAAUGGAUUUCACAUCACAAUCCAUUGAAAUCUGGUCAGCUACGUGACUUAAGGAAACGAACCUGCAAUUGCUCAUUGCCAUAGCUCUGUUGUUCUUCUUCAAUACAUUUUGCAGAUUCCACCAUCGUUGUGUUCCUGAUAUCAACUUCAAUCAGCUCAAGCGUCGGUAUAUCUCCAAAACCACAUGGAAUCUCCCUCAGAUUAUCGCAUUCGUACAGAGUUAACCGCUCGAGCCUGGGAAAAUGAGAGCUCUCCGUAACCCAUUCAAGCAGAUCAGUGCUGUCAAUUAGUAGCACUUUCAGUUGACAGAAUUCCCCUUCCCUCGUUUCCCAUUCCGUCCCACAGCAGGCUCGUCGUCUCAGUUUGAGCACUCGAAGAUUAGGCAGCACUCCGAUCAUCCUCAUAUCCUCCCAUGGAAGUCUGCAGCCACUCAAGCUCAGCUUCCUCAGUGUUACUGGGAAAGCAAUGUUCCGAGACAGAUCAUCCUUCAAAUUCGGAUACGGCUCUGCAUACAAACUCAGCUUCUCAAGCCUAUGAAGAUGAACAAGAUUGUGCAGUUCAUAUCCUGACCAUCCCGUCUCGUACGUGCCUCUGUACGAGUAAGCGAUUCCCAACUUCUUCAAGUUUGGCAUCAUUUCCAACAUCCUCUCCGAGCACUUGAAAUCUUGUACACACGAGAGCGUGUGCAGGUUUUCCAUACACGGCAAGCUCCUUGCAGGCGGGUCGGGCAAGAAACCAUUCAACAGCACAACGUGCCUCAACUGUGGCGUUUCCCAAAUUUGAAAUUCCAUACACGACUUAUUUAAGGAUUUAACAUCUAAACUUGAAAAUUGGGUCUCACCUGUACUCAGAAUCCUCACAACUAAGGUCUGAAGAUCGCGAAGCUGGUACAAGAAAUACAAUAAAAUCAUCAGCCGCUUCUAACAGGUGCACAUGUGAAACCAAGGUAUCUCAAAUGAAUUAGCUCACUGAUAUCCUCAACAGAUUCACCAAGUGUCACACUUAAUGCAUCGAACACCUUAAGAAGUCUAAAUUCUUUCCAAGAAUCCAACGCCCAAUGCUUGAAAAGAAGGAGGGUAUGCAUAGUUGAAACCAUCUCAAUGCUACCGGAGACAUUACAAAACACACUCAGGCGGUUUGAAUUCUCAACGCCUUGAGGAAAGCUGCCGGAGAACUCAUCAAUGGUGCACAGAAAAUUCUCAUCUCGACAUUUCCUUAAACAGAGGCCUCUCAUGAGAUCAUGGAUCUUCACUGUCCUGAUCUUGCCAUCAGAUCCUUUCUUACUGAUCAAAACAAGACUUUUUGCUACCAACUCUUCCAAAUACUCAUAUCCCAACUCCUCCAUCUCUCUUGCUUCAUUUGACAACAGAAACCCCUCCGCCGCCCACAACCUGAUCAGUUUCGACACGUUGAUCUCAUAAUCUUCCGGGAAACACCCCAUGUACAGAAAGCAAGGUCUUAAACGACCAGGCAAGUACUCAUAACUCAACGACAAUAUCUCAACAAAUUUUUCAUCACUUGUGUGAACAAAUUUAGAUACAUUUCUAGCAAUCUCUUCCCAAUUAGCCUCACAAGAGAGAAGAACUCCAGCUAUUACAACAACUGCAAGUGGAAGCCCUCGACAGUUCUGUGCAAUAACUUGUCCAAUUUCCUCAAAUUCGAGAGGGCAAUCUCCAUUUCCAAACACCCUCUCCUUAAGCAACCUCCAGCUUUGAUCCACAGCCAUCAACUGCAUUUGGUGAGGAUGUAAAGAGUCGAUGUAAGAAGCUACGCUCAACUCCCUCGUAGUUACUAUAAUCCGACUCCCAUUCCGAUCAUCGGGAAAGAUCCCCCGUAGAUCAUCCCACACAUCCGUAUCCCACAUAUCAUCCAUCACAACGAGAUAUCUCAUCCCUUUCAAGCGUUUAUAUAUAGUUUCUUUCAAUAACUCAUCGUGCUUACGCUUAUACGCUUCCACACCCACAUUAUUGAGCGAACACAGGGCACUAACAAGAAUUUCCCUUAAUUGAAACCUUUGAGAUAUUGUUAACCAAACGCAUAGAUCAAAGCGAUGAACACUCAGAGGGUCGUGGUAAGCAUACCUAGCAAGAGUGGUCUUCCCGAUGCCUCCCAUCCCAACAAUAGGGAUGACUCUAAGCUGAGAUGAUCCUCCACAGAGCUCACUCUUUAUCUUCAGCAAGUCUUCUUCGAUCCCAAUAAUGCAAUCAGAGGGCCUUGGAAUUUUCAUGCUGCUUUGGAUCUGCAUUGCUGUUGGCUUUUGUGAAUUACUUCAAAAAGAUUUUUUUUUUGAAGGAACUUCAAAAAGAUUAAACCUUGCAAAAUUGGAAUUUUCUUUUUCUCCUAGUCCGUUAACAGCUAACCAAACAACAAUAAAUUGCCGAGAUAAUCAACUUGUAUGUGUAGACCCCACCACAAGCAAUCAAAGUUGAUCGACUAAUUGCGUUGCGUGGUGUGUUGGACAAAUGGUUAGAGUCUAAUGCUUAUAGUCAAAUAUUUUGGAUUUGAGUAUCUUGUGGCAUGAUAUUUUUUAUUUUUUUUAAUAUUGUUAAUUUAUCAAAAAAAAAGUUAGAUCAACUGCAUUCUUUUACUGGCUAACAAGAUUUUAUAACAAAUUAUUAUUAUUAUUAUUAUUAUUAUUAUUAUUAUUAUUAUUAUUAUUUCUAAUCAUAAAUUCGAGUUUUAAAGCUUAAAUUAAUAAUCAAUAGUAAUAUUUUUAGCCUAAAGAUGAGAAAAAGUAAAGCAAUUUAAAAAUUAAAAAUAAAAAUUAGUGACCGGUUAAUUUAGGGCCUAAUGGACGAUACAUUUAAUUUUCAUGUAUUGAUUUUAAAUUUUACAUAGAUUAUAUAACGUUGAUAUCUACUUAAUUUAUAAAAUUAUCAUUAAAAUUGGUUUGAAAUGAUUUUCAAAUUGAUUUUAAAUUGCAGAACUAGUAUUUUCUAGCAGUAUUGAUUAUUAUGUAAUGAUUUCAUGCACAAGUUAAAUCGCCUACUCAAUUUCUAAUUUUUAAAAUAAAGAAUUACUCAAUCCGUCUACGAAUUAAAGUUCUAUUUGACCUUAAAUUUGUGUUCACUGAAUAAAAUCUUAUUGUGCUUUUUUGUACAUUUUUGCUCUUCUUCUUUUUCCUAUAUUUAUUACCUUUAUCACUAAUGGACCACCUUACAACAUCUUUAUCACUUUUAUAUUUUAUAUAGUAUUUGUUAAAUUUUAUCAUUAGUGAACCCACUCCACAACACCUUUAUCAUUUUAGUUAAUUAUUUUUUUAUUUCAUUCACAAUAUUUUUAUUAAUUUUCUUAAUUUUCAUGUUAUUAAGUAUGAAAUGAGUCUUUAAUUUGUAGACGGUAGUGUGAUUGAGGACUUUUAAAAACCAUUAUUCAAAGUUUUCUGGAUGAAUGUGACAGUUAGCCAAACAACAAUAAAUUGUCGAGAUAAUCAACUUGCAUGUGUAAACCCCACCACAACCCACAAGCAAUCAAAGUUGAUCAAACAUUUAUGUAAAAUGGAGAUGCUUUUUUUUUUAAAUUUGAACAAUUAAACAAGAUUUUUUAAGAGUAUUAUUGAUUUUUAAAAGUAACACAAAAUACUCCUUACAUCAAGGUGUAUCGUACACUCAAGUUGAUUCAUACUCAGAUUUUGACUCGCAUUUUCAUUCAAAUUCGCAUCCUGACCCAAAUUGUGUAAAUGACACUAUUCAGUUAUACAAAUGACACUGCUUAUAAUUGACACUAUUCAAUUAUAUAAAUGACACUGUAACAUUUUAAAAUAUUAUAGUGUCAUUUUCAAUCUUAUAGUGUUAUUUAAAAUAUUAUAAUGUCAUUUACAAUCUUAUAGUGUUAUUUAAAAUAUUACUUUUAAAGAAUUGUCAUUUAUAUUUAUGAAUAGUGUCAAUUACACACAAUGUCAUUUACAAUGUUAUAGUGUCAUUUGUAUAACAUAAUAGUGUCAUUACAGACAAUGUUAUUUAUAUAAUAUAGUGUCAUUUAUACAAUUUGAAUCAGAAUGCGGGUCAGGAUUUAGGUACGAGUUAACCCGAAUGUACGAUACACCCGAGUGCAUCCAAGACCGUCUCUUAAAAAAAAAAGGAUGCAUAUUGAAAAUUGAAAUAUAACGUUUGACUUUCCACCCUAAAAAUAAGCCCCAAACUAAGUCUUCUUCGAUCCCAACAAUGCAAUCAGAGGGCCUUGGAUUUUUCAUGCUGCUUUGGAUCUGCAUUACUGUUGGCUUUUAUGAACUACUACUUCAAAAAGAUUCAACCUUGCAAAAUUGGAUUUUUUUUUUCUCCCAGUCCAUCAAAUAAUUUGGGACAAGCAAUGGAUGAAUGUGAGAGCUAACCAAAACUUCAAUGAAUUGUGGAGAUAAUUAACUUGUAUGUGUAGACCCCACCACAACCACAAGCAAUCAAUGUUGAUCAAACCUUAUACAGAAAUGGGGUUGCAUUUUGUAUAACCGAAUAAUGUCAUUUACACAGUUUGGAUCAGGAUGCGGGUUAAGGUCAGGGUGCGGAUCAGGUGCAACUGAUUGCACCCAAAACCAGCUCUAGAUUUAAUUAAGGCGGAUGCAUCAAAGCGUGGAUCUAAUGAUUAACAUUACCUUAUUUUCCCUAAUUUUUUUCUAUAUAAAGAAAUUAACUCAAAAGUUGUACAGUUUUGAGACAGCUAAAAGAGAAUACGAUUCAAACUAGUUGGGACGGAGGGAGUAGUUGAGAGAUGUAUAUAAAGUGUAGAAGAAGGUUCAAUAUUUAUUUUGUAAAUAUCGAGUGUGAAUGUAGUUUAAAAUAUAAAUGAUAGUUUCUAAAAAAGAAAAGCAUGCAAUUUGUAUGGACCAACGAAAAUAGUACUCCUUCUGUCCAUAAUUUUUUUUUAAUCACAAUAUGGACUGCACAUGUUUUAGUAAAAUUUUGAGUUGAAUUGUUAGUGGUGUAAAGAUCCUAUUUUAAAUGAGUGAAGUUGCAUGGAUCAUACUACUGCAAAUAAAAAUAACAAGUUUUUUGUGGACGGAUCAAAGAAGAAAUUGCGACAAUUUUUCAUAGAGGAUGGAGUAAUAAACAUACAAUCUUCGUGAAUGGAUGAGUAAUAUACAAUACCAAAUAUAAGGUGUAGAUCAUAAUGAAACAAUCUUAACAUCUAUGUAGAAAAGAGCAUGAAAAUACAAGCACACAGAUCACCGAAUUGAGGCAAUCACGAUUUGGUUGAGAAAAAGGAUUUCAACACGCACAAAAACUAAGGUACAACCUGUUUGACCCGCACCCAAAUAGUGUUAUUUAUAUGGUUCGGAUCAGGAUACGAGUUCGAGUCAGAGUGCAUGUCAGGGUUUAAGUGAUGGUGCAAACCUGUUGUUCGGUACGCCCAGUUGUACCCAAAAUCACCUCUUUCAUACUACUAUCACUGAAAUCUGACAUGCACCAGAUACGUGACUUAAGGAAACGAACCUGCAAUUGUUCAUUGCCAUAGCUCUGUUGUUCUUCUUCAAUACAUUUUGCAGAUUUCACCAUCGUUCUGUUAAAGAUAUCAACUUCAAUCAGCUCAAGCGUCGGUAUAUCUCCAAAACCACAUGGAAUCUCCCUCAGAUUAUCGCAUUCGUUAAGAGUUAACCGCUCGAGCCUGGGAAAAUGAGAGCUCUCUGUUAUCCAUUCAGUCAGAUCAGUUCUGUCAAUUAGUAGCACUUUCAGUUGACAGAAUUCCCCUUCCCUCGUUUCCCAUUGCGUUCCAAAGCAGGCUCGUCGUCUCAGUUUGAGCACUCGAAGAUUAGGCAGCACUCCGAUCAUCCUCAUAUCCUCCCAUGGAAGUCUGCAGCCACCCAAGCUCAGCUUCCUCAGUGUUACUGGGAAAGCAAUGUUAUGAGACAGAUCAUCCUUCCUAUUCGGAUACGGCUCUGCAUACAAACUCAGCUUCUCAAGCCUAUGAAGAUGAACAAGAUUGUGCAGUUCAUAUCCUGACCAUCCUGUCUUGUACGUGCCUCUAAAUGAGUAAACGAUUCCCAACUUCUUCAAGUUUGGCAUCAUUUCCAUCAUCCUCUCCGAGCACUUGAAAUUUUGUACACACGAGAGCGUGUGCAGGUUUCCCAUACACGGCAAGCUCCCUGCAGACGGGUCGGGCAAGAAACCAUUCAACAGCACAACGUGCCUCAACUGUGGCAUUACCCAAAUUCGAAAUUCCAUACACGACUUAUUUAAGGAUUUAACUUCACCUGUACUCAGAAUCCUCACACUCAGAAUCCUCACAACUAAGGUCUGAAGAUUGCGAAGCUGGUACAAGAAAUUCAAAAAAAUCAUCAGCCGCUUUGUAAGAGGUGCACAUGUGAAACCAAGGUAUCUCAAAUGAAUUAGCUCACUGAUAUCCUCAACAGAUUCACCAAGUGUCACACUUAAUGCAUCGAACACCUUAAGAAGUCUAAAUUCUUUCCAAGAAUCGAACGCCCAAUGCUUGAAAAGAAGGAGGGUAUGCAUAGUUGAAACCAUCUCAAUGCUACCGGAGACAUUACAAAACACACUCAGGCGGUUUGAAUUCUCAACGCCUUGAGGAAAGCUGCCGGAGAACUCAUCAAUGGUGCACAGAAAAUUCUCAUCUCGACAUUUCCUUAAACAGAGGCCUCUCAUGAGAUCAUGGAUCUUCACUGUCCUGAUCUUGCCAUCAGAUCCUUUCUUACUGAUCAAAACAAGACUUUUUGCUACCAACUCUUCCAAAUACUCAUAUCCCAACUCCUCCAUCUCUCUUGCUUCAUUUGACAACAGAAACCCCUCCGCCGCCCACAACCUGAUCAGUUUCGACACAUUGAUCUCAUAAUCUUCCGGGAAACACCCCAUGUACAGAAAGCAAGGCCUUAAACGACCAGGCAAGUACUCAUAACUCAACGACAUAGCUCAACAAAAGUUUAAAGUUAAGUAACUAAUUUACUUUACGUACGAACACUUUCUUCCCAAUUGGCCUCACAAGAGAGAACUCCAGCUAUUACAACAACUGCAAGUGGAAGCCCUCGACAGUUCUGUGCAAUAACUUGUCCAAUUUCCUCAAAUUCGAGAGGGCAAUCUCCAUUUCCAAACACCCUCCCCUUAAGCAACCUCCAGCUUUGAUCCACAGCCAUCAACUGCAUUUGAUGAGGAUGUAAAGAGUCGAUGUAAGAAGCUACGCUCAACUCCCUCGUAGUUACUAUAAUCCGACUCCCAUUACGAUCAUCGGGAAAGAUCCCCCGUAGAUCAUCCCACACAUUCAUAUCCCACAUAUCAUCCAUUACAACGAGAUAUCUCAUCCCUUUCAAGCGUUUAUAUACAGUUUCUUUCAAUAACUCAUCGUGCUUACGCUUAUACGCUUCCACACCCACAUUAUUGAGCGAACACAGGGCACUAACAAGAAUUUCCCUUAAUUGAAAUCUUUGAGAUAUUGUUAACCAAACGCAUAGAUCAAAGCGAUGAACACUCGAAGGGUCGUGGUAAGCAUACCUAGCAAGAGUGGUUUUCCCGAUGCCUCCCAUCCCAACAAUGGGGAUGACUCUAAGCUGAGAUGAUCCUCCACAGAGCUCACUCUUUAUCUUCAGCAAGUCUUCUUCGAUCCCAAUAAUGCAAUCAGAGGGCCUUGGAUCGUUCAUGCUGCUUUGGAUCUGCAUUGCUGUUGGCUUUUAUGAACUACCACUUCAAAAAGAUUCAACCUUGCAAAAUUGGGGUUUUUUUUUUCUCCCAGUCCAUCAAAUAAUUCGGGACAAGCAAUGGAUGAAUGUGAGAGCUAGCCAAACAUCAAUGAAUUUUGGAGACAACCACAAGCAAUCAAAGUUGGUCAAACCUUAUACAGAAAUGGGGUUGCAUUUUGUUUUUUGUUUUUUGUUUUAAAUCAACAAUUAAAAAAAAAGGCUUUUUUAGGUUGGAACGUUUGACUUUCCAGUUUCCACCCUAAAAAUAAGCCCCAAAAUUACUUUAACCUUUUAACCUUUUACCCCCCAAUUUAUUUUCUACAGUUUACUUCUCCCCUCCCCAGCUUCCGAUCCACCUGUCACCGUCGCAUCCACCGCCGGCGUUGCUUCAGCGAGAAACCGUAAAACGGUGAGUCUUUUGAGAUUUGUUUUACAUUCCAUCUCAGUGGUGUUAAAAGCACGCUGUUGAUUUGUCGUGGUUUAGUUAGCAGUUUUGAAACAGAUCACUUUUACAACCAAGUGAGAAGAAGAUGGUUCGAAGAGGUGGUCGCGCCAGCAAACACGAGAGCUCUCAUCGAUUCUUCAAAGUCAUGUUUGGCAAGAACCACUCAAAAUUUAUGGUACUAAAACCUCUCUCUCUCUCUCUCUCUCACUGUUAGCUGUUUUUAUUAUAUUGCUUUCUUUUCUCUCUCUCAUUCUUCUGGCGAAUCUGUGGAUUUAGGGUUCUGUGCUCUCUGUCAGGGCAUUGCGUUUAAAUAUGUUAUAUCUAUGCAGUGGUUAAACUAGAAAUCUUUUCUGCAGCACUUCAGUUUUAUGUGAAUUUUCUUCGCACAAUCAACUGAGUAUAUUUAUUACGUUGGUUUCGCUCCUGCAUGGAUGAUUGUAAUCUCUUGUUUACUUGCUCUUUUAUCGGCUUGUUAUUUUUGUGAUUAAUUUGAUAACAUAACGCUAUGAAUAAUUAAAUGAAGUUGUGGAUCUUGUGUGUGGCUAUCACAUUUUUUAUGCUAUGUAAAGACCAAAAAUUACUAUAGUUGGGUAGCAGGUUUAGCAGGCAAUUAGAUGCAUCAUGUUAAAAGCAUCUCCCAUGGUGCAUUUAUCUUGUCAACCAGAAACCAUAUACUAAAAAGCAAGGAUCACAAAUUCUUGUUGCUUGGUUUCAAUAUAUUUGAGCAAGAAGAGAAUAGCAAAGAUUGCAACUUGUCAUUUGUCCUCAAAUAGCUUAUCUUCAGACUUGAACUUUUCCGUAAAAUAUGCUUAAAACGCCAUAAAACUCGAAAGACUUAGAUUGACGGCCAUUUGCACCCGUCAAAUUCUUGGGUGUAAUUGCACUAUUAAGUUGGGGGGUUUUGAUUUAUUUUGUGCCAAGACAAACUUUAGGGGAUUUUGUGAAUCACUGUAAACAUUAAGGGCAUUUAUGCUCCUUAUCCCAAGUAUUAAUGAUGUUAGUCCAGUUAUGUGAUCACAUUUAAAAGUGCUGCAUGUUGGACCACUUUGUCUACACAAGAUACUUUUGGCAUGUCAAAUCCUUUCCCACACAGAUUAAACUAUGAACCAUUUGAAAAGUAAAAAUGAUUAUUUUGUGGAGUAACUUGCCUUUUGUACUGCCCAAUUCUAAGUGGGCUUAAUCCUCUCUUUGAAUGUUUACCUUUUAUCGAAAUGAACAAAUAAAAUUUCAAAUUCUUUUGCAGUACUUGCCUCCGAAGUUUGCGCAAAGAGUGAAGCACUUGUUGACUAAUAAAAAAACUGAACUUAAGGAUUCACAUGGGCAGCGAUGGUCUGUAACACUGUCUCUUGUCGAUGGAGCCCUUGCAUUCCAAAUGGGUUGGGAAGAGUUUUAUCUAUACCAUGGUCUCAAAGAAGGACAGCUGUUACUAUUUAAGUACAAGGAAAGCCAUUUUACUGUUCGUAUUUUUGGAACAAGUGCCUGUGAGAGAACAAACUUUAAUAAUGAAAUGCCUGGUCGGAGAAAAAAGCGUAAGAGAUGCCAAGGGACAACUUCAGAAGAUGAAGCACAUCAGACAGCUGGUGUAAAGUCAGAUAUAUCCUGUAAACACAAAUUUUUGUAUUUCAAUUUGAUAAAAUACAAAACGCGUUACAAAGAUAAUUUGAUAGAUAUGAAGAUAGAUUUAUGCGGUUGCAAUCUCUAGUUAAUCCUCUGAUUCUUCUCUUCCAUUUGAUUCUUGAACAAACUCGAAGGUUCUUGAAAUACUUGUUUUGAUGACGCCAAUCCAAGGGACUUAAGUCGUGAUUUUGGAUUGAACGUUGGACUUGAUUUGAUUUGAGAAGAACGUCCUUAGAAUUUUUUGUAAGAACGCCUUGAAGCUUUCGAACUUGAUUUGAUUUGAUUUGAAGAACGUCCUUAGAAUUUGUAAGAACGCCUUGAAGCUUUGGGACUUGGUUGAUUUGAUUUGAGGAAGAUCGUUCUUGGAAUUUGUAAGAACGCCUUGAUCACUUGAAGAUUUGAAGAUUUGAUCACUUGAAGAUACUUGAAGAAUACUUGAAGAUUUGAAUGCUCAAAUACUUGAAGAUUCGAAGAAGACUUGAACGCUAGAUAGAAUUCUUCAAGAUACUUGAAUACUUGGAAGAAUACUUGAACUCUCCAAUUUUUCGCCUCUUUCAACUUGCGAUACUAGAGAGAAUUCUUUAUACUCUUCGAUCUUCCGUUCCUUCACGUUGUUGAUUAUGAGCACCCCAACACCUCUAUUUAUAGAUUUUGGAGAUGGGCUUCANUAUAGUGUCAUUUGUAUAACACAAUAGUGUCAAUUACAGACAAUGUUAUUUAUAUAAUCAGAUAGUGUCAUUUACACAAUUUGAAUCAGAAUGCGAGUUUGAAUCAGAAUGAGGGUCAAGGUCAGGAUCUAAGUACGAGUCAACUCGAAUGUCCGAUACACUCGAGUGCAUCCAAGAUCAUCUCUUUAAAAAAAAGGGUGCAUAUUGAAAAUUGAAAUAGAACGUUUGACUUUCCACCCUAAAAAUAAGCCCCAAACUAAGUCUUCUUCGAUCCCAACAAUGCAAUCAGAGAGCCUUAGAUUUUUCAUGCUGCUUUGGAUCUGCAUUGCUGUUGGCUUUUAUGAACUACUACUUCAAAAAGAUUCAACCUUGCAAAAUUGGAUUUAUUUAUUUAUUUAUUUUUCUACCAGUCCAUCAUCAAAUAAUUUGGGAUAAGCAAUGGAUGAAUGUGAGAGGCUGAGAGCUAACCAAAACUUCAAUGAAUUGUGGAGAUAAUUAACUUGUAUGUGUAGACCCCACCACAACCACAAACAAUCAAAGUUGAUCAAACCUUAUACAGAAAUGGGGUUGCAUUUUGUAUAACCGAAUAAUGUAAUUUACACGGUUUGGAUUAGGAUGCUUGGAUCAGGAUGCGGGUUAAGGCUAGGGUGCGGAUCAGGUGCAAUUGAUUGCACCCAAAACCAGCUCUAGAUUUAAUUAAGGCGGAUGCAUCAAAGCGUGGAUCUAAUGAUUAACAUUCCCUUAUUUUUUUCAUAUAAAGAAAUUACUCAAAAUAGUUGAGAGUUUUGAGACGGCUAAAAGAGGAAUACGAUUCAAACUAGUUGGGACGGAGGGAGUAGUUGAGAGAUGUAUAUAAAGUGUAGAAGAAUGUUCAAUAUUUAUUUUGUAAUAUCAAGUGUGAAUGUAGUUUAAAAUAUAAGUGAUAGUCUAAAAAGAAAAGCAUGCAAUUUGUAUGCAAUUUGCUUUUAUGAACUACCACUUCAAAAAGAUUCAACCUUGCAAAAUUGGGGUUUUUUUUUUCUCCCAGUCCAUCAAAUAAUUCGGGACAAGCAAUGGAUGAAUGUGAGAGCUAGCCAAACAUCAAUGAAUUUUGGAGAUAACCACAAGCAAUCGAAGUUGGUCAAACCUUAUACAGAAAUGGGCUUGCAUUUUGUUUUUUGUUUUUUUUUUUUAAAUGAACAAUUAAAAAAAAGGCUUUAUUCGGUUGGAACGUUUGACUUUCCAGUUUCCACCCUAAAAAUAAGCCCCAAAAUUACUUUAACCUUUUAACCUUUUACCCCCCAAUUUCUUUCUACAGUUUACUUCUUUCUCCCCUCCCAGCUUCCGAUCCACCUGUCACCGUCGCACUCCACCGCCGGCGUUGCUUCAGCGAGUAACCGUAAAACGGUGAGUCUUUUGAGAUUUAUUUUACAUUCUAUCUCAGCGGUGUUAAAAGCACGCUGUUGAUUUGUCGUGGUUUAGUUAGCAGUUUUGAAACAGAUCACUUUUACAACCAAGUGAGAAGAAGAUGGUUCGAAGAGGUGGUCGCGCCAGCAAACACGAGAGCUCUCAUCGAUUCUUCAAAGUCAUGUUUGGCAAGAACCACUCAAAAAUUUAGUACGUAAACCUAACCUCUCUCUCUCUCUCUCUCACUGUUAGCUGUUUUUAUUAUAUUGCUUCUUUUCUCUCUCAUUCUUCUGGCGAAUCUGUGGAUUUAGGGUUCUGUGCUCUCUGUCAGGGCAUUGCGUUUAAAUAUGUUAUAUCUAUGCAGUGGUUAACUAUAAAUCUUUCUGCAGCACUUCUAGUUUUAUGUGAAUUUUCUUCGCACAAUCAACUAAGUAUAUUUAUUACGUUGGUUUCGCUCCUGCAGGCUGCAUGGAUGAUUGUAAUCUCCUGUUUACUUGCUCUUUUAUCGGCUUGUUAUUUUUGCGAUUAAUUUGAUAACAUAACGCUAUGAAUAAUUAAAUGAAGUUGUGGAUCUUGUGUGUGGCUAUCACAUAUUUUAUGCUAUAUAAAGACCAAAAAUUACUAUAGUUGGGUAGCAGGAUUAGCAGGCAAUUAGAUGCAUCAUGUUAAAAGCAUCUCCCAUGGUCCAUUUAUCUUGUCAACCAAAAGCCAUAUAAAAGCAAGGAUCACAAAUUCUUGUUGCUUGGUUUCAAUAUAUUUGAGCAUGGAAGAGAAAAUGCAAAGAUUACAACUUGUCAUUUGUCCUCAAAUAGCUUAUCUUCAGACUUGAACUUUUCCGUUAAAUAUGCUUAAAACGCGAUAAACCAGUAAAGAACUCGAAAGACUUAGAUUGACGGCCAUUUGCAUCUGUCAAAUUCUUGGGUGUAAUUGUGCUAUUAAGUUGGGGGGUUUUGAUUUAUUUUGUGCCAAGACAAACUUUAGGGGAUUUGUGAAUCACUUUGAACAUUAAGGGCAUUUAUGCUCCUUAUCCCAAGUAUUAAUGAUGUUAGUCCUUCUUUUGUAUACCGCAAGGUAUACUUCAACAUUUUACUUCUUUUGUAUUUCUGGCAAAUGGCAAGAAGAGUGUUCCUUUCUUAAAGGCCUUGUGGAUGUGCACUAUUUGGGUGAUUUGGAGAAUGAGGAAUGUUAGUAGAUUUGAAGAUAAGGUGUGCGAGUUUAAUAGCUUGAUCAUGGAGAUAAAGACUAGAAUGUGGACUUGGAAUAAGAUUUUUGGUUUUUUUGCUGCGGAACCAUCCUUGUUGGAAUGGUGUGCUCCAAAGUUUUGUGGUUCCCUUAUUUAAAAAGUUUAGGUACCGCUGGUACCGUCAUCCUUUUUUUUUAAUAUAAUAUGCCUUUUUUCUGAUAAAAAAAAAAAAUUAAUGAUGUUAGUCCAGUUAUGUGAUCACAUUUAAAAGUGCUGCAUGUUGGACCACUUUGUCUACACAAGAUACUUUUGGCAUGUGAAAUUCCUUUCCCACACAGAUUAAACUAUGGACCAUUUGAAAAGUAAAAAUGAUUAUUUUAUCUCAAUUCUAAGUGGGCUUAAUCCUCUCUUUGAAUGUUCACCUUUUGUCGAAAUGAACAAAUAAAAUUUCAAAUUCUUUUGCAGCACUUGCCUCCGGAGAUUGCGCAAAGAGUGAAGCACUUGACUAAUCAAGACACUGAACUUGAAGAUUCAUAUGGGCAGCUAUGGCCUGUAACACUGUCUCUUGUCGAUGGCUCCCUUGCAUUCCAAAUGGGUUGGGAAAAGUUUUAUGUAGGCCAUGGUCUCAAAGAAGGACAGCUGUUAGUAUUUAAGUACAAGGAAGGCCAAUUUACUGUUCGUAUUUUUGGAACAAGUGCCUGUGAGAGAACAAACUUUAAUAAUGAAAUGCCUGGUCGGAGAAAAAAGCGUAAGAGAUGCCAAGGGACAACUUCAGAAGAUGAAGCACAUCAGACAGCUGGUGUAAAGUCAGAUAUAUCCAUCUCGGCCUCCGGAGAUGAAUCUCAAAACCGUAUAACCAAGCUUGCGGUUGAUUUAAGCUUUGAGAUGGAAAACGGAAGAUUUGAUGCAAAUAAAGCUGAGGGUGCUGUAAUCAAACUUUUAGACGCUAGUACUGAAACUGAACAGCGUGAUGUCUUUGAUAAUGCAUCAGACAAAGGAUUAUCCUUAUCUAGUAAUUGGGUUCUAGAACCAACCUACCCAGCAGGGAGAGAUGCUAUGGAGCAGACUAAGACAACUGCAGAGGAUGCUCAAAUGGGUGUGAUCGAGACAGAUCUAAUCACAAGUACUGCUGGUGAUGAUGCUAUGGAGCAGACGAAGACAACUGCAGAGGAUGCUCAAAUGGGUGCCAACAAGACAAACCUAAUCACAAGUAAUACUGGUGACAUUUCUAUUGACAAGUUUGUGACAGCGUCGGAUGCGAAAACAGCCAUUUCUCAUACUGAAAUCACAGACCAGAUUCGGAAAAAAGUGGGUGGCACUCAAAUGACUCCUCAUUCACAUCAGGCAGGUGGCCAUUCUGGUGAUGCUUUUAUGAAAUGGUUUUAUCAUGAGAAACCUUCUGAUGACAAUAAAAUGAAGAAGAUCAUGCUCAAGA